Molecule: ribosomal RNA, 253 nt
Filed under: uncultured bacterium
Lineage: Bacteria
Description: partial 16S ribosomal RNA
Rfam family: Bacterial small subunit ribosomal RNA
Source: RNAcentral
UACAGAGGUGCCGAGCGUUAGGCGGAAUCACUGGGCUUAAAGCGUGUGUAGGCGGAUUUUUAAGUACCUUGUGAAAUCCCACGGCUUAACCGUGGAACUGCUUGGUAUACUGGAAAUCUUGAGCCACUUAGGGGCGAGCGGAACAAAUGGUGGAGCGGUGAAAUGCGUAGAUAUCAUUUGGAACGCCAAAGGUGAAAACAGCUCGCUGGGAGUGUGCUGACGCUGAGACACGAAAGCCAGGGUAGCGAACGGG